CAUUUUUCUCCGUAAUAGCACCUUGGGACAUAAACGAGUUGUUCAGAUAUUUUGUAAAGAGAAAUUUUGCUUAUUGUUAAGUGCAAAAAACAAGUAGCGUGCAACCCUUAUUUAUAGUCAAUAUUUCAUACAUUACGCAGUAUUAUACUGCAAUUUACGUAUUCAAUUAUUCUGAAAAAGUUUCUUUUUCCACAUGCGGUUUUCAGCUUUUCUAGAACAUGACAACUCAAUAAUACGUAGCAUUUAACUGCGAAUUACAUAUUUAGCUUUUCACAUGCUUUUGCAACACAAAUAAAUUUAAUAUUGGAACAACCAUAUCAAAAUAUAACGUUAAAAAAUAAGAUGAAAUUUGGAAUGUUCUUUUAUUUCAUAUAAAUUGAAACUUACGCAAGUACAAACAUGACUAUAAAAAAAUAUCAAAAUGAAAUACUAGGGGUUUCCGUGAUAGAGACGGCCCGUUUUUCACAGGAACACAACCUUCUAUUUUCAUUCACCGUAUGCAGAUGAUUCCCACGGUGUCCGCUGAUAGAUGUUAACUUCAAAAACACCCCGUUCAUGAUCGUACUGAAGAAAUGAAUGCCACUAUGCUCGCCUCCUCGACCUUUCAAAUCUUCUCAUAGGUAAUGGCAUAAAUUCAACACCCCGGUCCAUCAAUGCUGAGGCAGUUGCAUGCCUUUCAACAAACCUCUCUGCACUCUGUUUGAAUGUCAUGCGAACCAUGGCAGUGACAGGCAGUCCAUGGGCAGAUUUCAGCAAGCCGUUGAAUGACUCUGACACGUUUGUAGUCAAGGCUCCCCAUCGUCUUCCGCCAUCAGCAUGCAAUGUCCACAUGUGAAGCUCAUGUCCCAUUAACCAAGAAUAGGCUCUUGGUUCUAUCUGCCGGAUCGCUUCCAUGCGCCUAGUGAAUUUGCAUUGCUGGUGCUCAGUUGCAGCUAUCCACAUUAAGUCAUGCAAGGUCUUGUCAGAAAAUUUCUUCUGAAAAUUGGCCUUCAGGUGCUCCCGAUCGCUUCCAUGUGCCUCGUGAAUUUGCACUGCUGGUGCUCAGUUGCAGCCAUUUACAUUAAGUCAUGCAAGGUAUUGUCAGGAAAUUUUUUCUGAAAAUUUGCCUUCAGGUUCCGCACACAGUAACGGUAGUAUGGAUAUGGUUCCUGCCAUGCAGGUAAGUGACGCACAGAACUUAAAAUACCACCAUGUCGAUAAGAUAUUAGACAAAUACCUGAACGCUGUUUGACAACAUGCUGCUUCAAGUGUUUCAAAAACGCGUCCACGUCUCUUCGCUUUCGUUGACACAUAUGGCAAAGGCUAAUGGAAAUAUUUGCCCGUUGGCAUCUACAAUUACUGCAAUCAAAAGCUUAAUAUCAUACUUUCUAUAGACAUAGGUACCGUCUAUGGAAAUAACAGGACGACAAUGCACAAAACCAUCAAUUGCCGGUUUAAAUGACCAGAACACAUAGUUAAAAAUAUAUUCGGGUCUGU
This 1476-nucleotide long non-coding RNA is filed under the name Nicotiana benthamiana. RNAcentral describes it as "long non-coding RNA (NBEN_LNC010627)". The record is from RNAcentral. Lineage: Eukaryota; Viridiplantae; Streptophyta; Magnoliopsida; Solanales; Solanaceae.